This is a long non-coding RNA of Zingiber officinale, 458 nucleotides long. RefSeq lists it as uncharacterized. NCBI's taxonomy places the organism in Eukaryota, Viridiplantae, Streptophyta, Magnoliopsida, Zingiberales, Zingiberaceae. The record is from RefSeq and is a predicted model, not a curated record. The transcript has 3 exons.
ACAAGCCCUCGGCCAAGGGAGCCCUAGCGCCGGCAACCAUCUUCCCUCUGCUCUAGUUCCGACUCACGGUCGCCGGUGCAAACCUUCGACCAAGGGUCGAGCCGUGCCCUAGAUCUGUCCUUGUGUACCACUGCCGACCGCCGGAUCGGGCUGUUCCAGCCUCUCCACGCCGAGCCCUAGUUUCCCGGCGUCACUCCGAUCGUCCUCUGCCCUAGCACUGGUCUGCCAGCCGUCCAGUGCCAGCUGCCAGCUUGUUAUCGACCUGAGUCUCUGGUAUUAAGGUUUCCAGCAGCAGCUUCGUCGGGUUCUUGGUCAUCGCAGGCGAUUAGAGGAAGAGGGCGUUUCUUGAUUUCCAAUAGCUACCUCUGUUCCGACAGCAAGUUGUCUUUGCUAUGGAUUUGUUGGGCUGUGGAUUAAGGACUGUGACGCGAGAUGAGCAACUCGACGUUGGAUUUGGA